RNAcentral lists this ribosomal RNA (413 nucleotides) under uncultured bacterium. RNAcentral's name for it is "bacterial SSU rRNA". It matches the Rfam family "Bacterial small subunit ribosomal RNA", at positions 30 to 440 of the family's 1533-position model. The record is from RNAcentral.
AUUGAACGCUGGCGGCGUGCCUAACACAUGCAAGUCGAGCGGUAACAGGUGUAGCAAUACAUGCUGACGAGCGGCGAACGGGUGAGUAAUGCUUCGGAAUCUACCUUAUGGUGGGGAAUAACUAGCCGAAAGGUUAGCUAAUACCGCAUACGUCCUACGGGAGAAAGCAGGGGAUCGUAAGACCUUGCGCCAAAAGAUGAGCCGAAGUCGGAUUAGCUAGUUGGUAGGGUAACGGCCUACCAAGGCGACGAUCCGUAGCUGGUCUGAGAGGACGACCAGCCACACUGGGACUGAGACACGGCCCAGACUCCUACGGGAGGCAGCAGUGGGGAAUAUUGGACAAUGGGGGAAACCCGUGAUCCAGCGACGCCGCGUGUGUGAAGAAGGCCUGCGGGUUGUAAAGCACUUUUAGU